This is a non-coding RNA of Acanthosepion pharaonis, 112 nucleotides long. Lineage: Eukaryota; Metazoa; Mollusca; Cephalopoda; Sepiida; Sepiidae. The record is from the annotation of a GenBank genome assembly.
ACGGCAAAAUCACGUUGAAGCACUGGUUCACGUAGGAUCACCAUAUUUAAGCAACCUUGAGCCCGAUUAGUAACUAGAUUGGUGACCACUUGGUAAUAUCAGGUGCUGUAAU